UGGGGAAUUUUGGACAAUGGGCGAAAGCCUGAUCCAGCAAUGCCGCGUGAGUGAAGAAGGCCUUCGGGUUGUAAAGCUCUUUUGUCAGGGAAGAAACGGUGAAAGCUAAUAUCUUUUGCUAAUGACGGUACCUGAAGAAUAAGCACCGGCUAACUACGUGCCAGCAGCCGCGGUAAUACGUAGGGUGCAAGCGUUAAUCGGAAUUACUGGGCGUAAAGCGUGCGCAGGCGGUUUUGUAAGUCUGAUGUGAAAUCCCCGGGCUCAACCUGGGAAUUGCAUUGGAGACUGCAAGGCUAGAAUCUGGCAGAGGGGGGUAGAAUUCCACGUGUAGCAGUGAAAUGCGUAGAUAUGUGGAGGAACACCGAUGGCGAAGGCAGCCCCCUGGGUCAAGAUUGACGCUCAUGCACGAAAGCGUGGGGAGCAAACAGGAUUAGAUACCCUGGUAGUCCACGCCCUAAGCGAUGUCUACUAGUUGUCGGGUCUUAAUUGACUUGGUAACGCAGCUAACGCGUGAAGUAGACCGUCUGGGGAGUACGGUCGCAAGAUUAAAACUCAAAUG
RNAcentral lists this ribosomal RNA (559 nucleotides) under uncultured bacterium. RNAcentral's name for it is "partial 16S ribosomal RNA". It matches the Rfam family "Bacterial small subunit ribosomal RNA", at positions 355 to 907 of the family's 1533-position model. The record is from RNAcentral.